GGUUAAGCGACUAAGCGUACACGGUGGAUGCCCUGGCAGUCAGAGGCGAUGAAGGACGUGCUAAUCUGCGAAAAGCGUCGGUAAGGUGAUAUGAACCGUUAUAACCGGCGAUGUCCGAAUGGGGAAACCCAGUGCAAUUCGUUGCACUAUCGUUAACUGAAUACAUAGGUUAACGAGGCGAACCGGGGGAACUGAAACAUCUAAGUACCCCGAGGAAAAGAAAUCAACCGAGAUUCCCCCAGUAGCGGCGAGCGAACGGGGAGCAGCCCAGAGUCUGAAUCAGCUUGUGUGUUAGUGGAACGGUCUGGAAAGUCCGACGGUACAGGGUGAUAGUCCCGUACACCAAAAUGCACAGGCUGUGAACUCGAAGAGUAGGGCGGGACACGUGGUAUCCUGUCUGAAUAUGGGGGGACCAUCCUCCAAGGCUAAAUACUCCUGACUGACCGAUAGUGAACCAGUACCGUGAGGGAAAGGCGAAAAGAACCCCGGCGAGGGGAGUGAAAAAGAACCUGAAACCGUGUACGUACAAGCAGUGGGAGCACCUUCGGGUGUGACUGCGUACCUUUUGUAUAAUGGGUCAGCGACUUAUAUUCUGUAGCAAGGUUAACCGUAUAGGGGAGCCGCAGGGAAACCGAGUCUUAACUGGGCGUUAAGUUGCAGGGUAUAGACCCGAAACCCGGUGAUCUAGCCAUGGGCAGGUUGAAGGUUGGGUAACACUAACUGGAGGACCGAACCGACUAAUGUUGAAAAAUUAGCGGAUGACUUGUGGCUGGGGGUGAAAGGCCAAUCAAACCGGGAGAUAGCUGGUUCUCCCCGAAAGCUAUUUAGGUAGCGCCUCGUGAACUCAUCUUCGGGGGUAGAGCACUGUUUCGGCUAGGGGGUCAUCCCGACUUACCAACCCGAUGCAAACUACGAAUACCGAAGAAUGUUAUCACGGGAGACACACGGCGGGUGCUAACGUCCGUCGUGAAGAGGGAAACAACCCAGACCGCCAGCUAAGGUCCCAAAGUCAUGGUUAAGUGGGAAACGAUGUGGGAAGGCACAGACAGCCAGGAUGUUGGCUUAGAAGCAGCCAUCAUUUAAAGAAAGCGUAAUAGCUCACUGGUCGAGUCGGCCUGCGCGGAAGAUGUAACGGGGCUAAACCAUGCACCGAAGCUGCGGCAGCGACACUAUGUGUUGUUGGGUAGGGGAGCGUUCUGUAAGCCUGCGAAGGUGACCUGUGAGGGUUGCUGGAGGUAUCAGAAGUGCGAAUGCUGACAUAAGUAACGAUAAAGCGGGUGAAAAGCCCGCUCGCCGGAAGACCAAGGGUUCCUGUCCAACGUUAAUCGGGGCAGGGUGAGUCGACCCCUAAGGCGAGGCCGAAAGGCGUAGUCGAUGGGAAACAGGUUAAUAUUCCUGUACUUGGUGUUACUGCGAAGGGGGGACGGAGAAGGCUAUGUUAGCCGGGCGACGGUUGUCCCGGUUUAAGCAUGUAGGCUGGUUGUCCAGGCAAAUCCGGAUAAUCAAGGCUGAGGUGUGAUGACGAGGCACUACGGUGCUGAAGUAACAAAUGCCCUGCUUCCAGGAAAAGCCUCUAAGCAUCAGGUAACAUCAAAUCGUACCCCAAACCGACACAGGUGGUCAGGUAGAGAAUACCAAGGCGCUUGAGAGAACUCGGGUGAAGGAACUAGGCAAAAUGGUGCCGUAACUUCGGGAGAAGGCACGCUGGUGUGUAGGUGAAGUCCCUGCGGAUGGAGCUGAGACCAGUCGAAGAUACCAGCUGGCUGCAACUGUUUAUUAAAAACACAGCACUGUGCAAACACGAAAGUGGACGUAUACGGUGUGACGCCUGCCCGGUGCCGGAAGGUUAAUUGAUGGGGUUAUCCGUAAGGAGAAGCUCUUGAUCGAAGCCCCGGUAAACGGCGGCCGUAACUAUAACGGUCCUAAGGUAGCGAAAUUCCUUGUCGGGUAAGUUCCGACCUGCACGAAUGGCGUAAUGAUGGCCAGGCUGUCUCCACCCGAGACUCAGUGAAAUUGAACUCGCUGUGAAGAUGCAGUGUACCCGCGGCAAGACGGAAAGACCCCGUGAACCUUUACUAUAGCUUGACACUGAACAUUGAGCCUUGAUGUGUAGGAUAGGUGGGAGGCUUUGAAGCGUGGACGCCAGUCUGCGUGGAGCCAACCUUGAAAUACCACCCUUUAAUGUUUGAUGUUCUAACGUUGGCCCCUGACCGGGGUUGCGGACAGUGUCUGGUGGGUAGUUUGACUGGGGCGGUCUCCUCCCAAAGCGUAACGGAGGAGCACGAAGGUUAGCUAAUCCUGGUCGGACAUCAGGAGGUUAGUGCAAUGGCAUAAGCUAGCUUGACUGCGAGCGUGACGGCGCGAGCAGGUGCGAAAGCAGGUCAUAGUGAUCCGGUGGUUCUGAAUGGAAGGGCCAUCGCUCAACGGAUAAAAGGUACUCCGGGGAUAACAGGCUGAUACCGCCCAAGAGUUCAUAUCGACGGCGGUGUUUGGCACCUCGAUGUCGGCUCAUCACAUCCUGGGGCUGAAGUAGGUCCCAAGGGUAUGGCUGUUCGCCAUUUAAAGUGGUACGCGAGCUGGGUUUAGAACGUCGUGAGACAGUUCGGUCCCUAUCUGCCGUGGGCGCUGGAGAAUUGAGGGGGGCUGCUCCUAGUACGAGAGGACCGGAGUGGACGCAUCACUGGUGUUCGGGUUGUCAUGCCAAUGGCACUGCCCGGUAGCUAAAUGCGGAAGAGAUAAGUGCUGAAAGCAUCUAAGCACGAAACUUGCCCCGAGAUGAGUUCUCCCUGAGACUUUAAGUCUCCUGAAGGAACGUU
Molecule: ribosomal RNA, 2816 nt
Filed under: Klebsiella pneumoniae
Lineage: Bacteria; Pseudomonadati; Pseudomonadota; Gammaproteobacteria; Enterobacterales; Enterobacteriaceae
Description: partial 23S ribosomal RNA
Rfam family: Bacterial large subunit ribosomal RNA
Source: RNAcentral